This 779-nucleotide ribosomal RNA is filed under the name uncultured bacterium. RNAcentral's name for it is "bacterial SSU rRNA". It matches the Rfam family "Bacterial small subunit ribosomal RNA", at positions 9 to 786 of the family's 1533-position model. The record is from RNAcentral.
GAGUUUGAUCCUGGCUCAGAUUGAACGCUGGCGGCAGGCCUAACACAUGCAAGUCGAGCGGUAGAGAGGUGCUUGCACCUCUUGAGAGCGGCGGACGGGUGAGUAAUGCCUAGGAAUCUGCCUGGUAGUGGGGGAUAACGCUCGGAAACGGACGCUAAUACCGCAUACGUCCUACGGGAGAAAGCAGGGGACCUUCGGGCCUUGCGCUAUCAGAUGAGCCUAGGUCGAAUUAGCUAGUUGGUGAGGUAAUGGCUCACCAAGGCGACGAUCCGUAACUGGUCUGAGAGGAUGAUCAGUCACACCGGAACUGAGACACGGUCCAGACUCCUACGGGAGGCAGCAGUGGGGAAUAUUGGACAAUGGGCGAAAGCCUGAUCCAGCCAUGCCGCGUGUGUGAAGAAGGUCUUCGGAUUGUAAAGCACUUUAAGUUGGGAGGAAGGGCAGUUACCUAAUACGUAAUUGUUUUGACGUUACCGACAGAAUAAGCACCGGCUAACUCUGUGCCAGCAGCCGCGGUAAUACAGAGGGUGCAAGCGUUAAUCGGAAUUACUGGGGCGUAAAGCGCGCGUAGGUGGUUCGUUAAGUUGGAUGUGAAAUCCCCGGGCUCAACCUGGGAACUGCAUUCAAAACUGUCGAGCUAGAGUAUGGUAGAGGGUGGUGGAAUUUCCUGUGUAGCGUGAAAUGCGUAGAUAUAGGAAGGAACACCGGUGGCGAAGCGACCACCUGGACUGAUACUGACACUGAGUGCGAAGCGUGGGGAGCAAACAGGAUUAGAUACC